AAACUNCANAGGAAUUNAUNGGGNACCCGCNCAANACGNUGGAUGAUGUGGAUUAAUUNGAUGCAANCGCNGAACAACNUUACCUNAGCGCUUGACAUGUCNGGGAANCNCGCUAAGAGGCGGGGGGUGGCCCGAAAANGAACGCGAACACAGGUCNUGCAUGGCUAGUCGUCAGCUCGUGUCCGUGAGAUGUUUGGGUUAAGUCCCGCAACGAGCGCAACCCUUGUCAUUAGUUGCUACGAAAGGGCACUCUAAUGAGACUGCCGGUGACAAACCGGAGGAAGGUGGGGAUGANGUCAGGUCCUCAUGGCCCUUAUGGGUAGGGCUACAUCACGUCAUACAAUGGCCGGUACAGAGGGCUGCCAACCCCNCGAGGGGGAGCUAAUCCCAGAAAACCGGUCGUAGUCCGGAUCGCANNAAANCAACUCGACUGCGUGAAGUCGGAAUCGCUAGUAAUCGCGGAUCAGCUUGCCGCGGUGAAUACGUUCCCGGGUCUUGUACACACCGCCCGUCACACCAUGGGAGCGGGUUCUGCCAGAAGUAGUUAGCCUAACCGCAAGGAGGGACGAUUACCACGGCAGGGUUCGUGACUGGGGUGAAGUCGUAACAAGGUAGCCGUAUCGGAANGUGCGGCUGGAUCACCUCCUU
RNAcentral lists this ribosomal RNA (648 nucleotides) under uncultured beta proteobacterium. RNAcentral's name for it is "partial 16S ribosomal RNA". It matches the Rfam family "Bacterial small subunit ribosomal RNA", at positions 896 to 1532 of the family's 1533-position model. Lineage: Bacteria; Pseudomonadati; Pseudomonadota; Betaproteobacteria. The record is from RNAcentral.